GAGAAGAACGCAGCGAAAUGCGAUAAGUAAUGUGAAUUGCAGAAUUCAGUGAAUCAUCGAAUCUUUGAACGCACAUUGCGCCCGCCAGUAUUCUGGCGGGCAUGCCUGUCUGAGCGUCAUUUCAACCCUCAUGCCCCUAGGGCGUGGUGUUGGGGAUCGGCCAAAGCCCGCGAGGGACGGCCGGCCCCUAAAUCUAGUGGCGGACCCGUCGUGGCCUCCUCUGCGAAGUAGUGAUAUUCCGCAUCGGAGAGCGACGAGCCCCUGCCGUUAAACCCCCAACUUUCCAAGGUUGACCUCAGAUCAGGUAGGAAUACCCGCUGAACUUAAGCAUAUCAAUAAGCGGAGGA
RNAcentral lists this unclassified non-coding RNA (347 nucleotides) under soil metagenome. RNAcentral describes it as "partial contains 5.8S ribosomal RNA, internal transcribed spacer 2, and large subunit ribosomal RNA". The stretch from base 3 to 119 matches the Rfam family "5.8S ribosomal RNA", at positions 38 to 154 of the family's 154-position model. The record is from RNAcentral.